Small nucleolar RNA from Dipodomys ordii (Ord's kangaroo rat), 134 nucleotides. Lineage: Eukaryota; Metazoa; Chordata; Mammalia; Rodentia; Heteromyidae. The record is from Ensembl.
UAUCCCUGUUCUGGGCAGAGUGGUAUCAACUUCAUGGUGUUCAUUUUAUAUCAACCAGGAGCAAAACAAUCGUAUGUUUAUUCUAGCAUGCUUUUGAUCUAUGCCUAUGCCUAGUUCAUGCCUUGGACACAUCU